RNAcentral lists this ribosomal RNA (439 nucleotides) under uncultured bacterium. Its description in RNAcentral is "partial 16S ribosomal RNA". It matches the Rfam family "Bacterial small subunit ribosomal RNA", at positions 338 to 795 of the family's 1533-position model. The record is from RNAcentral.
CCUACGGGGGGCAGCAGUGGGGAAUAUUGCACAAUGGGCGAAAGCCUGAUGCAGCAACGCCGCGUGAGCGAUGAAGGCCUUCGGGUUGUAAAGCUCUGUCCUCAAGGAAGAUAAUGACGGUACUUGAGGAGGAAGCCCCGGCUAACUACGUGCCAGCAGCGGCGGUAAUACGUGGGGGGGUAGCGUUAUCCGGAGUUACUGGGCGUAAAGGGUGCGUAGGUGGUUUCUUAAGUCGGAGGUGAAAGGCUACGGCUCAACCGUCGUAAGCCUUUGAAACUGGGGAACUUGAGUGCAGGAGAGGGAAGUGGAAUGCCUAGUGUAGCGGUGAAAUGCGUAGAUAUUAGGAGGAACACCAGUUGCGAAGGCAGCUGACUGGACUGCAACUGACACUGAGGCUCGAAAGUGUGGGUAGCAAACAGGAUUAGAUACCCCGGUAGUC